AACGUAGGUGGCAAGCGUUAUCCGGAUUCACUGGGCGUAAAGCGCGUGCAGGUGGCUUCGUAAGUUGGACGUUAAAUCUCCCGGCCUAACCGGGAGGAGUCGUUCAAUACUGCGGGGCUAGAGGGCAGAAGAGGGGGGUGGAAUUGCUGGUGUAGUGGUGAAAUGCGUAGAUAUCAGCAGGAACACCUGUGGCGAAAGCGGCCCCCUGGUCUGCUCCUGACACUCAGACGCGAAAGCUAGGGGAGUGAACGGG
RNAcentral lists this ribosomal RNA (253 nucleotides) under uncultured bacterium. RNAcentral's name for it is "partial 16S ribosomal RNA". It matches the Rfam family "Bacterial small subunit ribosomal RNA", at positions 524 to 776 of the family's 1533-position model. The record is from RNAcentral.